UGAAGACUGAGUUUUCAGUUCAUGCGAGAUCUGAUUGUUUAAAAGAGUGCAGCACUUCCUCCACCUUGCUCCCUCUCUUGCCACUGAUGUGCCUGCUUCCCCUUCACCUUCUGCCUGGAUUGUAAGCUCCCUGAGAACCUCACCAGAAGCAGAUGCCAGCACCACGCUUCCUAUACAGCCUGCCAAAAUGAGCUCCUGAAUUUCACAGACAAAUCCAGACCCCUGUGUGGAAAGCCUGCGGUGGUGUUCUCCGUCUUCCCACAGGACUCCCUGCAGCCAGGAAUUCUAGGGGAGCACCUGACGCGAGGUAUACGCCCAGAUGGCCUGAAGUAACUGAAGAAUCACAAAAGAAGUGAAAAUGUCCUGCCCCGCCUUAACUGAUGACAUUCCACCACAAAGGAAGUGUCAAUGGCUGGUCCUUGCCUUAACUGAUGACAUUCCACCGCAAAAGAAGUGAAAAUGGCCGGUCCUUGCCUUAACUGAUGACAUUACACCACAAAAGAAGUGAAAAUGGCCGGUCCUUGCCUUAAGUGAUGGCAUUACCUUGUGAAAGUCCUUUUCCUGGCUCAUUCUGGCUCAAAAUCACCCCCACUGAGCACCUUGUGACCCCCACUCCUGCCCGCCAGGGAACAAUCCCCCUUUGACUGUAAUUUUCCUUUACCUACCCAAAUCUUAUAAAAUGGCCCCACCCCUAUCUCCCUUUGCUGACUCUCUUUUUGGACUCAGCCUGCCUGCAUCCAGGUGAUUAAAAGCUUUUAUUGCUCAC
Molecule: long non-coding RNA, 766 nt
Filed under: Homo sapiens (human)
Lineage: Eukaryota; Metazoa; Chordata; Mammalia; Primates; Hominidae
Description: PLD5 antisense RNA 1
Source: RNAcentral